This 1913-nucleotide unclassified non-coding RNA is filed under the name Hevea brasiliensis (rubber tree). The record is from RNAcentral. Lineage: Eukaryota; Viridiplantae; Streptophyta; Magnoliopsida; Malpighiales; Euphorbiaceae.
UUUUGGGUGCACAUGACUGGCCUUAUUAAAGGAAUUCCCCCUGGAAGGAGUAUCAGCCUUUGAACUGGAUGUCUUCUUGCUUUCACCGCCACCUGAUGAUACUGUUCUUGGAGGAGGAUUAGAUGUUUGCUCCUUGGCUGAUGACUUCAGAUUUUCCUCUCGUGUGGACCUCUUUGACUCUUGAAUCAGCUUAGAUGAUUCUGCUGAUUUACGCUGCUCAAAACUUCCCUGGUUAUCUGAAUUUUUGGACUGAGGAUUAUGUUGAGUAUCAGUAGUGUAGGAACUUCUAGAGGAUGAUUCCUUCAUUAAGGACCUCUUCGAUUGUAAAAUUGGCUUAGAUAUAGCUUGUUCUGUUGAUCUACCCUGCUCAGAACUUCCCCAAUAACCAGAGCUCUUUUCCUGAGAAGUGGGCUUCACUUGAGCUUCAGCAGUGUAGGAACUCACUGAGGAUGAUUUGUGUUCCGCAGCAUAACCUGGAGUCAUUGAAGAAUCAGAAGGUACCCUGGACUUCAAAUUUCUCUCAGAAUUUGAAAGAGGUCUGCUGGUAACAGUCUGUUUUGUUCGUCUAGAAAAUCCAGGACCCGAAUGAGUUUUGCUCUUUUCAGUCUGUUUAGGAAGAUCCUCCUCAGAAUCACUAUUAUCCAAGUCAAAAUAGUUCCUUACACCUGAUUUUUUGUUCACUUCCACUGCUGCUUUUCGAAUGUGUGGCUCUUGCGUCUGUUGUGGAAGUUCCUCAUCUGACUCAUCAUCAAUAGCAUCAGAAUAUGGAACUGAGGUUCCUAAGCUUCCUUUUUUAUUUAUUUUUGGGUGCACCAUCUGAUUGUAUGAAUCUUGGACUCCAGAACCAAUAUCAACCUUGAGGGAAGAAGACUUCUGCUUAAACCUGGUAGAAUUAUCCUCCUCUGCUUGUUUGGACACUGAAGAACUAUCUGAUGGAUUACUACGGUAUGGUGGAUGCCUAUAACCCUUAUUUCGAAGGCCACCUGUCAAGAUUCCAAAAUUCAACUCUUUACCACUUUCCAAACUCGAUUCUUUAAUAGUUUUAGUAUCCUGCAAUGUAUCCAGUGAUUGGUAACUUUGAAUAUCAUCCAUGACUGAUGAAAACCCUGAAGUUUUUGGAUUGUCAUCAUCAUUGGAUUUUGAUUGAGAUUUUGUGAACCUGCGAGAAGUUGGAUUGGUAUGCAAGUAACCAUAAUUAAACUUCAUAUCAGUUUCAGGCCCAACUUCAUUUCCCUGGUUUUUGCUGUUGGAUCCCGCAUUUUCCUUUUCCACAAGUGAAGAUCCUACAAAGUGAGGUCUCUCAUUCUGGGUUGUCUCAGUGUUACUGCUUAUAUGUUUAUGAGGAAAAGUGCCGGAAUAUGUAUUCCCAACAAGCUUAGACUUAUUGAGCUCCUCUUCACUUUCUGAGCUUGGACCAUCUGAAUCAUCAAAAGUCACAGGCAACAAUUCAUCAGAUUGCGAAGGAACUGUAUCACUUGUCAAGCCCUCAGAAAAUACACUUGUGGUGUGCAAGUCUGAUGCAAAAAGAGAUUGUGAACCGAACUUUCCUAGUGACUCUUCCAUGUUUAGCCUGGAGCUGUUAGCAUUUGUAUUUGCUAAAAGAUGAGGCAAUGAUUUUCUAUCUUCUGACAGGUAAUAUGAACCAGAAUCUUGGCCAUUAUGUUCACCCUUCUCAUCAAGAUUAAAUUCAUCAUCAUCUGAACCAGAAUCAUCAAAAACCACAGAAGCAUUAUCAAAUGGGUUUGUUUCUUUGGUAUUUCUUUGGAAGUUUCCUUCAUAAAAAAUAUAAGGUUCCUUAGCAGCUUCCUCACUAAAUUUCUGGUGGCUGAAACUGGAAAAAACAUUGUGAUCAUCCCUAGAAAUUUGAGAAUGAGAAUGAGAUGAAACGCUGCUAGACUGUUCUCUAUUGCUGG